GCCGGGAGUGGUGGUGUACUCCUGUAAUCCAACUACUUGGAGGCUGGGUACAGAGGAUGUUUUAGAAGUGGAGAUUCUGGGAUUGGAUUUUCCACGUUGACUGGGGGUCUGCUAGGAGUAAAUCCUCAACUUGGAUAUUUUGGGGGGCCUGAGGUAGCCAGGUUGAGUCCAAAUGGGGGAAAGAUUUAAAUCCUAGUAGUGGGAGUUCAAUUUCAGGUUGUCCAAACAAAAACAGACCUGUACCUAA
This 247-nucleotide signal recognition particle RNA is filed under the name Pediculus humanus corporis (human body louse). RNAcentral describes it as "metazoan signal recognition particle RNA". It matches the Rfam family "Metazoan signal recognition particle RNA". From Rfam's summary of the family: The signal recognition particle (SRP) is a universally conserved ribonucleoprotein. It is involved in the co-translational targeting of proteins to membranes. The record is from Rfam by way of RNAcentral. Lineage: Eukaryota; Metazoa; Arthropoda; Insecta; Psocodea; Pediculidae.